AAACUGGCAGGCUUGAGUCUUGUAGAGGGGGGUAGAAUUCCAGGUGUAGCGGUGAAAUGCGUAGAGAUCUGGAGGAAUACCGGUGGCGAAGGCGGCCCCCUGGACAAAGACUGACGCUCAGGUGCGAAAGCGUGGGGAGCAAACAGGAUUAGAUACCCUGGUAGUCCACGCCGUAAACGAUGUCUACUUGGAGGUUGUGCCCUUGAGGCGUGGCUUCCGGAGCUAACGCGUUAAGUAGACCGCCUGGGGAGUACGGCCGCAAGGUUAAAACUCAAAUGAAUUGACGGGGGCCCGCACAAGCGGUGGAGCAUGUGGUUUAAUUCGAUGCAACGCGAAGAACC
RNAcentral lists this ribosomal RNA (341 nucleotides) under Salmonella enterica subsp. enterica serovar Derby. RNAcentral describes it as "partial 16S ribosomal RNA". It matches the Rfam family "Bacterial small subunit ribosomal RNA", at positions 630 to 970 of the family's 1533-position model. RNAcentral also lists the same sequence under 3 other names. Lineage: Bacteria; Pseudomonadati; Pseudomonadota; Gammaproteobacteria; Enterobacterales; Enterobacteriaceae. The record is from RNAcentral.